RNAcentral lists this long non-coding RNA (471 nucleotides) under Brassica napus (rape). Its description in RNAcentral is "long non-coding RNA (BNAP_LNC004439)". Lineage: Eukaryota; Viridiplantae; Streptophyta; Magnoliopsida; Brassicales; Brassicaceae. The record is from RNAcentral.
CCAUCCUUUGAUGAUGCACUGCCAUAGUUGUGAGGUUGAGAACUAAAGGAAGCGAUGAACUGUUUCAUAUGUUUUGGGGUAAGAGAAGAUGAUCUUGAAGAUGUUAUGACAUCUAGAUUAUUCUGUUCAGUCUGAGUGGUUAUGAUCGCAUUAGCAGAACGUGAAGUGUUCUAAGGAUAUGUUUUCUUUGGAGGAUAAAAAUUCAUUUUAAUUUAAGACUUAGAGGAUAUCUAUGAAUCUUGUAACAUAGAUCGACCACAUGACCAACACCACCACAUUGUGUGCUUACUGGGCAAGAUUUACCAUAGUGUGAAUUAGAGGAAACUUGGAAAGUAACAAUAUCAACUCCAGUGUGAGAAGAAUUCCUUGCAGACCUCACUAUCUUCUACAAUCGCAAUGCUUAUAUGAACAUAUUUGUAUAAUUUGGAAAGUAACAAUAUCACAGCUUGAUUUGAAUACCAUGAAGCAUCA